Non-coding RNA from Phrynosoma platyrhinos (Desert horned lizard), 69 nucleotides. The record is from the annotation of a GenBank genome assembly. NCBI's taxonomy places the organism in Eukaryota, Metazoa, Chordata, Lepidosauria, Squamata, Phrynosomatidae.
GCCUGUGGCAUAGUGGUUUCAGCAUUGGACUACAACUCUGGAGACCAGGGUUCAAAUCCCCACUUGGCC